CCCCCACGCAGGGCCCAGGGAAUUCGACCCCUUGCCUUGACUCCUUGACUCGCAGGGCCAGCCAGCCAGACCUCCCAACAGCCUAUACCCUUCUGUCCAAAAGACCCUAAUGAAAGUUUCCCUGUGACAAGCCUAAACAAUGAUCCAAGAGGAAUGAAAAACCAAACUAAUGAGAAAAUGAUGUAGAAGGCCAGCUUUCUGCUCUCCCCACAAGGAUUUUAAUUACAGAGAAAUCAACAGCUGUGCCAGGGGUAACACGGGAGUGCUGGCCAUGCAAAAUAACACCUUGGAGUGGAAUGAAUUUGAAGUAAAUGGGCUGGAAAUAUUGGCUUUCCCAGCAAUCAACAGCAACACAUGAGGGGAAACACGGAGUCUUUAAUUCGGUGAAGUGUACUGAUCGCAGACUUCUCCAUUGCCCUGAUUCUGAGAUCACUCGGUGGAUAACGCAAGGGAGCCCAUUAUCCUGUACAUGGUGGAAAAAAGCAAAAAUUCAGCAACUUCUCUUUCAGAUCUUGGACUCUGAGAAAGAACAGCACGCUUUCUUCAGCAGGAAGAAGAUACUCAAUACUGCCAUUUAAAAACAGCCAGCCAGAAGAGUCUGUUAUUUCUUUAAAAACUGUUCUGAAAGUGACAUUUUACCAUAAUAAAA
Mustela lutreola (European mink) is the source of this 649-nucleotide long non-coding RNA. RefSeq lists it as uncharacterized. The transcript is spliced from 3 exons. The record is from RefSeq and is a predicted model, not a curated record. NCBI's taxonomy places the organism in Eukaryota, Metazoa, Chordata, Mammalia, Carnivora, Mustelidae.